GGUCUCUCUUUCUCCACAAGUUUUCAAGUAAUUAGUUCAAGUAAGCUUAUUUACAGCUGUUGUCUAUGUGACCUAUGAACCCACAAUUUCCCCUUUAGAA
Pipistrellus kuhlii (Kuhl's pipistrelle) is the source of this 100-nucleotide long non-coding RNA. RefSeq lists it as uncharacterized. The transcript has 3 exons. The record is from RefSeq and is a predicted model, not a curated record. Lineage: Eukaryota; Metazoa; Chordata; Mammalia; Chiroptera; Vespertilionidae.